CCGUCACAGCCUCCACGCCGUCGUCGCCGCCCCCCGGACUCCACCGCAUCCACGCCGGCGUCGCCGCAGCGGGAGAAGGAGGUCUCCGCGCGACGGAUUCCGGAGACGCCGCGGUCUUCUCCCUCCCGCGUGGUCCCUCCAUCACCACCGAUUGACCGCCUCCACGAUGCCGCCUCCACAGGAGCAGGGGAACGCCACGGCCUUCUCCCUCUCCCGCGCGGUCCUCCCCAUCAACGCCGUUUCACCGGCUCCACCGGUCGCUGUCCAGGCCGCCGCCACCUCAGCCGUUUCAACAAAUCGCCAUACCCUGUGCCUCCUCUCUCUAUCCAUCAGUUGCCUGCCGACGAUCUUCUGCCGACGAAGUGCUGCUGUCCGCCGCGAUCUUUUGCAUACGCCACGCCACGUUUGGCCUUCUCAGAUGAUCGCUGGGAAGGCCUCACGGCCCUUCCCCCUGAUCGACUGCUUGAUCUACCUCGACACGAUGGUCUACAGCAAGGCUGCAGUGCGGUCAUGAGGUCCACCUUGGUGAGCAGCUUUCUAGACCUCUUUGCAAUUUUGUUUGGUCUUUGUUUAUUCCUUGCAAAUUGUAGGCUGACAUCGCCAUCAUCUGAUUGUUUAUCAGACCUGAUCGUUUAGUUUAGUUUUU
RNAcentral lists this long non-coding RNA (646 nucleotides) under Oryza sativa Indica Group (long-grained rice). Its description in RNAcentral is "lncRNA OsPr106_03g0021640". Lineage: Eukaryota; Viridiplantae; Streptophyta; Magnoliopsida; Poales; Poaceae. The record is from RNAcentral.